GCGAAUAUAUUUUCUGAGGAAGUCCAUGCUAGCACCGGCUGUGAUGCUGGUAGUGAUUGUGCUAGGCGAAACAAUAAGCCUAGGGACGGAGCAAUCCGUUACGGCGACUGAAAAGGCUAAGUCUUUUAGAUAGGUCUGAAUAGGUCUGAAAGUGCCACAGUGACGUAGUUCUUCUGGAAACAGAAGAAGUGGAACGCGGUAAACCCCUCAAGCUAGCAACCCAA
RNAcentral lists this unclassified non-coding RNA (224 nucleotides) under uncultured Streptococcus sp. RNAcentral describes it as "partial ribonuclease P RNA". It matches the Rfam family "Bacterial RNase P class B", at positions 20 to 243 of the family's 365-position model. From Rfam's summary of the family: Ribonuclease P (RNase P) is a ubiquitous endoribonuclease, found in archaea, bacteria and eukarya as well as chloroplasts and mitochondria. Lineage: Bacteria; Bacillati; Bacillota; Bacilli; Lactobacillales; Streptococcaceae. The record is from RNAcentral.